GAGCGAGCGGAACCAGCAGAAUCACUUCGGUGAGGACGCUGGGAAAGUGAGCGGCGGAUGGGUGAGUAACACGUGGGGAACCUGCCCUUAAGUCUGGGAUACCACUUGGAAACAGGUGCUAAUACCGGAUAAGAAAGCAGUUCGCAUGAACAGCUUUUAAAAGGCGGCGCAAGCUGUCGCUAAAGGAUGGACCCGCGGUGCAUUAGCUAGUUGGUAAGGUAACGGCCUACCAAGGCAGUGAUGCAUAGCCGAGUUGAGAGACUGAUCGGCCACAUUGGGACUGAGACACGGCCCAAACUCCUACGGGAGGCAGCAGUAGGGAAUCUUCCACAAUGGACGCAAGUCUGAUGGAGCAACGCCGCGUGAGUGAAGAAGGUUUUCGGACCGUAAAGCUCUGUUGUUGGUGAAGAAGGAUAGAGGUAGUAACUGGCCUUUAUUUGACGGUAAUCAACCAGAAAGUCACGGCUAACUACGUGCCAGCAGCCGCGGUAAUACGUAGGUGGCAAGCGUUGUCCGGAUUUAUUGGGCGUAAAGCGAGCGCAGGCGGAAGAAUAAGUCUGAUGUGAAAGCCCUCGGCUUAACCGAGGAAUUGCAUCGGAAA
RNAcentral lists this ribosomal RNA (601 nucleotides) under uncultured bacterium. RNAcentral describes it as "bacterial SSU rRNA". It matches the Rfam family "Bacterial small subunit ribosomal RNA", at positions 64 to 632 of the family's 1533-position model. The record is from RNAcentral.